Long non-coding RNA from Hibiscus syriacus, 285 nucleotides. RefSeq lists it as uncharacterized. Lineage: Eukaryota; Viridiplantae; Streptophyta; Magnoliopsida; Malvales; Malvaceae. The record is from RefSeq and is a predicted model, not a curated record. The transcript has 3 exons.
UCUCUCCGAUUUUCUCUGCUUCCAAACAACGUUUGUUCUCUUUCGUUACUAAUAAUCUCUUUAUUGUUCCCUGUUUUGGCUAUUUCUAAAGGAGCGGUGGAGAUCCGUUUAUCUUUUUAGCUUUCUGGAUAAGUGGUGAGGGCCAUGUGAGUUGUUUGAACUGAAAUAGUGUUGUCGACGGUCUUCGACAGAGAUAAGCUUAUUGGUUCUAUCAGUGUGCACAAGAACAUCGGGAUUUUGGAUUUCGAAGCAUCAAAUUUAUUUUACCAUGGUGGUUUUGGCCGA